GACGAACGCUGGCGGCGUGCUUAACACAUGCAAGUCGAACGCUGAAGCUCAGCUUUUGUUGGGUGGAUGAGUGGCGGACGGGUGAGUAACACGUGAGUAACCUGCCCCCUUCUUUGGGAUAACGCCCGGAAACGGGUGCUAAUACUGGAUAUUCACUGGUCUUCGCAUGGGGGUUGGUGGAAAGGGUUUUUCUGGUGGGGGAUGGGCUCGCGGCCUAUCAGCUUGUUGGUGGGGUGAUGGCCUACCAAGGCUUUGACGGGUAGCCGGCCUGAGAGGGUGACCGGUCACAUUGGGACUGAGAUACGGCCCAGACUCCUACGGGAGGCAGCAGUGGGGAAUAUUGCACAAUGGGCGCAAGCCUGAUGCAGCGACGCCGCGUGAGGGAUGGAGGCCUUCGGGUUGUGAACCUCUUUCGCUCAUGGUCAAGCCGCAACAAUGGUUGUGGUGAGGGUAGUGGGUAAAGAAGCGCCGGCUAACUACGUG
RNAcentral lists this ribosomal RNA (483 nucleotides) under uncultured bacterium. Its description in RNAcentral is "partial 16S ribosomal RNA". It matches the Rfam family "Bacterial small subunit ribosomal RNA", at positions 28 to 507 of the family's 1533-position model. The record is from RNAcentral.